AACGAACGCUGGCGGCAUGCCUAACACAUGCAAGUCGAACGAGACCUUCGGGUCUAGUGGCGCACGGGUGCGUAACGCGUGGGAACCUGCCCUUAGGUUCGGAAUAACUCCCCGAAAGGGGUGCUAAUACCGGAUAAUGUCUUCGGACCAAUGAUUUAUCGCCUUUGGAUGGGCCCGCGUUGGAUUAGCUAGUUGGUAGGGUAAAAGCCUACCAAGGCGACGAUCCAUAGCUGGUCUGAGAGGAUGAUCAGCCACACUGGGACUGGGACACGGCCCAGACUCCUACGGGAGGCAGCAGUGGGGAAUAUUGGACAAUGGGCGAAAGCCUGAUCCAGCAAUGCCGCGUGAGUGAUGAAGGCCUUAGGGUUGUAAAGCUCUUUUACCCGGGAUGAUAAUGACAGUACCGGGAGAAUAAGCUCCGGCUAACUCCGUG
RNAcentral lists this ribosomal RNA (433 nucleotides) under uncultured bacterium. Its description in RNAcentral is "partial 16S ribosomal RNA". It matches the Rfam family "Bacterial small subunit ribosomal RNA", at positions 29 to 507 of the family's 1533-position model. The record is from RNAcentral.